CCUACGGGUGGCUGCAGUGGGGAAUAUUGGACAAUGGGGGAAACCCUGAUCCAGCGACGCCGCGUGAGUGAAGAAGUAUUUCGGUACGUAAAGCUCUAUCAGCCGGAAAGAAAAUGACGGUACGUGACUAAGAAGCCGCGGUUAACUACGUGACGCCAGCCGCGGUAAAACGUAGGGGGCAAGCGUUAUCCGGAUUUACUGGGGGUAAAGGGAGGGUAGACGGGAGCGCAAGUCUGGAGGGAAAUGCCCGGGCCCAACCCCGGAACUGGGCUGGAAACUGUGAAGCUGGAGUGCAGGAGAGGUAAGCGGAAUGCCUGGUGUAGCGGUGAAAUGCGUAGAUAUCAGGAGGAACACCGGCGGCGAAGGCAGCUUACCGGACUGUAACUGACGUUGAGGCUCGAAGGCGUGGGUAGCGAACAGGAUUAGAUACCCUUGUAGUC
This 440-nucleotide ribosomal RNA is filed under the name uncultured bacterium. RNAcentral's name for it is "partial 16S ribosomal RNA". It matches the Rfam family "Bacterial small subunit ribosomal RNA", at positions 338 to 795 of the family's 1533-position model. The record is from RNAcentral.